RNAcentral lists this ribosomal RNA (1233 nucleotides) under metagenome. RNAcentral describes it as "bacterial LSU rRNA". It matches the Rfam family "Bacterial large subunit ribosomal RNA", at positions 1709 to 2925 of the family's 2925-position model. The record is from RNAcentral.
UGAACUUGGCAAAUUAACACCGUAACUUCGGGAGAAGGUGUGCCCUUUGACGUGCAGGACUUUACGUCUGAAGCGUUGGGGGGUUGCAGAGAAACGGGGGUUGCGACUGUUUACUAAAAACACAGGACUCUGCGAACUCGCAAGAGGGCGUAUAGGGUCUGACGCCUGCCCGGUGCUGGAAGGUUAAGGGGAGUUGUCAGCGUAAGCGAAGCAACGAACUGAAGCCCCAGUAAACGGCGGCCGUAACAAUAACGGUCCUAAGGUAGCGAAAUUCCUUGUCGGGUAAGUUCCGACCUGCACGAAUGGCGUAACGACAUCCCCACUGUCUCGACCAGCGACUCAGCGAAAUUGUAAUCGCGGUGAAGAUACCGUGUACCCGCGGCAAGACGGAAAGACCCCAUGAACCUUUACUGCAACUUGACAGUGAAGCUCGGGACAGACUGCGUAGGAUAGGUGGGAGGCUGUGAAGCCGGGAUUCUGGUCUCGGCUGAGCCAACCUUGAAAUACCACCCUGUUUGUUCUGGGCUUCUAACCCAGGCGUGUAAGCCACGCCGGGGACACUGUCUGGUGGGCAGUUUGACUGGGGCGGUCGCCUCCCAAAAAGUAACGGAGGCGCGCGACGGUUCCCUCAGGCUGAUUGGAAACCAGCCGUAUUGUAAUGGCAUAAGGGAGCUUGACUGUGAGACCGACAGGUCGAGCAGGUGCGAAAGCAGGUCAUAGUGAUCCGGCAGUUCUGUAUGGAAGGGCUGUCGCUCAUCGGACAGAAGGUACUCUGGGGAUAACAGGCUGAUCGCGCCUGAGAGUUCAUAUCGGCGGCGCGGUUUGGCACCUCGAUGUCGGCUCAUCGCAUCCUGGGGCUGGAGCAGGUCCCAAGGGUUUGGCUGUUCGCCAAUUAAAGCGGUACGCGAGCUGGGUUUAGAACGUCGUGAGACAGUUCGGUCCCUAUCUGCCGUGGGCGUAGGAUACUUGAGAGGGUCUAACCAUAGUACGAGAGGACCUGGUUGGACGUACCUCUGGUGAUCCGGUUGUUCCGCCUGGAGCAUCGCCGGGUAGCUAUGUACGGAAUGGAUAACCACUGAAAGCAUCUAAGUGGGAAGCCAGCCUCAAGAUGAGGUAUCCCGGGGCCUUGAGCCCCCUGAAGGCCCGUCGAAGACUACGACGUAAUAGGCUGGGUGUGGAAGCGCAGCAAUGUGUGGAGCUAACCAGUACUAAUCGGCCGUGAGGCUUGACCUG